AUACGUAGGGUGCAAGCGUUAAUCGGAAUUACUGGGCGUAAAGCGUGCGCAGGCGGUUUUGUAAGACAGUGGUGAAAUCCCCGGGCUCAACCUGGGAACUGCCAUUUUGACUGCAAGGCUGGCGUGCGGCAGAGGGGGAUGGAAUUCCGCGUGUAGCAGUGAAAUGCGUAGAUAAGCGGAGGAACAACGAUGGCGAAGGCAAUCCCCUGGGCCUUCACUGACGCUCAUGCACGAAGGCGUGGGGAGCAAACAGGAUUGGAUACCCUGGUAGUCCACGCCCUAAACGAUGUCAACUGGUUGUUGGGUCUUCAUUGACUCAGUAACGAAGCUAACGCGUGAAGUUGACCGCCUGGGGAGUACGGCCGCAAGGUUGAAACUCAAAGGAAUUGACGGGG
Molecule: ribosomal RNA, 395 nt
Filed under: uncultured bacterium
Lineage: Bacteria
Description: partial 16S ribosomal RNA
Rfam family: Bacterial small subunit ribosomal RNA
Source: RNAcentral